AGAGUCUCCAUUUGUUUUACGAGAACUUCUAAUGAUAAUACAGACUGGUGAACUAGCUGCAGGGGAAGAGCGUCUGCGUGAGGUCUUCCAACAAGUUCAACAACUGAAGGCUAUGCAAAGACUGCAUUGAUAUUUGCUGCCAACACUUCGAUCAAGUUCAAAGUUGCCUUGUCCGCAAUCUAUCACUCGGACGUCAUGGUUGGAUGGGAUCGAAGAAGCCGUUCCAUUCUAGCUGUUUUCCUCCUCAUCCUCUUUGUGGCGUGCCUGAUAGGCGGAGCGGUCCUGAUUGCUGAGGGAGUCAACGCUGAACCAUAUUAUGAGGGUGGGAUCCGAAUUGCGUGGGGAGUUGUUUGCUUGCUCAUUUGUAUGCCUUUUGGCCUCGCAGGCUGUGUGCUUGGGUGUCAGGUCCGAAUUGAGAGUCAAAAUUUCAACAGAGCUCUGCGGCAAUGUUCCCAUGAAAGCGCAAGUAUAGCCCAGCCAGUUAGAAAAGGAACUGCUGCAGCUGCUGUUCCCGGCGCCGCCGUCAUCCCGAACGCAAUCAUCCUACCCACUAACAAUCCAGUUGGGCCGGUAAUGGCCAUGCCAGUCACACAUCCUGCUUAACAAUUACAUUAUAUUGUGGCAUACGACUACUGAUCCCGAACACAACAUGAGCAGCGACAGGCGUAGCAGCACCAGCAACAGGAGCAGCAACAACAGCCUCAGGAUGAGCAAACCACCGCAUCCGUCCCCUCUGCGCCGCUGUUACUGGAAUCUGCCAGGAACGAUGCUCCUCCGAGCUAUUCACAAGCAUUUGCCACUGAAGUCUUAAGUGACUGACACAAAAGAACUGUUCACACCUUGUUUGUACUACGGAACAGGUACAUGUAAUAAUAAUAAUAAUAAUAACUUUAUUAGGAAGACCCAAAGGCUGACCGCCUAUCGUGGGGUCCGUCGCAU
This is a long non-coding RNA of Sycon ciliatum, 939 nucleotides long. RefSeq lists it as uncharacterized. The transcript has 3 exons. Lineage: Eukaryota; Metazoa; Porifera; Calcarea; Leucosolenida; Sycettidae. The record is from RefSeq and is a predicted model, not a curated record.